RNAcentral lists this transfer RNA (83 nucleotides) under Candidatus Vidania fulgoroideorum. RNAcentral's name for it is "tRNA-Ser". It matches the Rfam family "tRNA". From Rfam's summary of the family: Transfer RNA (tRNA) molecules are approximately 80 nucleotides in length. The record is from RNAcentral. Lineage: Bacteria; Pseudomonadati; Pseudomonadota; Betaproteobacteria.
GGAGAUAUGGCUGAGUGGCUUAUAGCAUUCCCCUGCUAAGGGAAAAUGCACAAGCAUCGUAGGUUCAAAUCCUGCUAUCUCCU